Molecule: ribosomal RNA, 253 nt
Filed under: uncultured bacterium
Lineage: Bacteria
Description: partial 16S ribosomal RNA
Rfam family: Bacterial small subunit ribosomal RNA
Source: RNAcentral
UACGUAGGGUGCAAGCGUUAAUCGGAAUUACUGGGCGUAAAGCGUACGCAGGCGGCUUUGCAAGACAGGUGUGAAAUCCCCGGGCCUAACCUGGGAACUGCAUUUGUGACUGCAUAGCUAGAGUUUGUCAGAGGGGGGUGGAAUUCCACGUGUAGCAGUGAAAUGCGUAGAUAUGUGGAGGAACACCGAUGGCGAAGGCAGCCCCAUGGGAUGUGACUGACGCUCAUGUACGAAAGCGUGGGGAGCAAACAGG